GAUGCUACCUGGUUGAUCCUGCCAGAAUA
RNAcentral lists this ribosomal RNA (29 nucleotides) under Genista florida. RNAcentral describes it as "partial 18S ribosomal RNA". The record is from RNAcentral. Lineage: Eukaryota; Viridiplantae; Streptophyta; Magnoliopsida; Fabales; Fabaceae.